RNAcentral lists this ribosomal RNA (446 nucleotides) under uncultured bacterium. RNAcentral describes it as "partial 16S ribosomal RNA". It matches the Rfam family "Bacterial small subunit ribosomal RNA", at positions 338 to 795 of the family's 1533-position model. The record is from RNAcentral.
CCUACGGGUGGCAGCAGUCGAGAAUCAUUCACAAUGGGGGAAACCCUGAUGGUGCGACGCCGCGUGGGGGAAUGAAGGUCUUCGGAUUGUAAACCCCUGUCAUGUGGGAGCAAAUUAAAAAGAUAGUACCACAAGAGGAAGAGACGGCUAACUCUGUGCCAGCAGCCGCGGUAAUACAGAGGUCGCAAGCGUUGUUCGGAAUCACUGGGCGUAAAGCGUGCGUAGGCUGUUUCGUAAGUCGUGUGUGAAAGGCGCGGGCUCAACCCGCGGACGGCACAUGAUACUGCGAGACUAGAGUAAGGGAGGGGGAACCGGAAUUCUCGGUGUAGCAGUGAAAUGCGUAGAUAUCGAGAGGAACACUCGUGGCGAAGGCGGGUUCCUGGACAUUAACUGACGCUGAGGCACGAAGGCCAGGGGAGCGAAAGGGAUUAGAUACCCUUGUAGUC